AUACGGAGGAUCCGAGCGUUAUCCGGAUUUAUUGGGUUUAAAGGGUGCGCAGGCGGCCAUUUAAGUCAGCGGUUAAAUCGUGGGGCUCAACCCCAUUCUGCCGUUGAUACUGGGGGGCUUGAUUGCGGCCGAGGUUGGCGGAAUUCUAUGUGUCGUGGGGAAAUGCAUAGAUAUGACGAAGAACACCGAUUGCGUAGGCAGCUGACCAGACCGCAAAUGACGCUCAUGCACGAAAGUGCGGGGAUCGAACAGGAUUAGAUACCCUGGUAGUCCGCACAGUAAACGGUGAAUACUUGUUUUCGGCGAUAUAAUGUCGGAGGCAAAGCGAAAGCGAUAAGUAUUCCACCUGGGGAGUACGCCGGCAACGGUGAAACUCAAAUGAAUUGACGGGG
Molecule: ribosomal RNA, 392 nt
Filed under: uncultured bacterium
Lineage: Bacteria
Description: partial 16S ribosomal RNA
Rfam family: Bacterial small subunit ribosomal RNA
Source: RNAcentral